This 413-nucleotide ribosomal RNA is filed under the name Annelida sp. MM00983. Its description in RNAcentral is "SSU rRNA". It matches the Rfam family "Eukaryotic small subunit ribosomal RNA", at positions 592 to 998 of the family's 1831-position model. Lineage: Eukaryota; Metazoa; Annelida. RNAcentral also lists the same sequence under 3 other names. The record is from RNAcentral.
CAAUAGCGUAUAUUAAAGUUGUUGCGGUUAAAAAGCUCGUAGUUGGAUUUGGGCUGGCGGCACGCCCAGUCGCCUCACGGCGGCCUCGGGUGUGUAACCGCUUGCCGCUAGCCGGUAUCCUCCGGGGGUGCCCUUCACUGGGACGCCUUCGGCGGCCGGCAUGUUUACUUUGAGAAAAUUAGAGUGUUCAAAGCAGGCCUAAGAUGCCUGAACGGUGGUGCAUGGAAUAAUGGAAUAGGACCUCGGUUCUAUUUUGUUGGCUUUCGGAAAUCGAGGUAAUGAUUAAGCGGGGCAGAGCGGGGGCAAACGUACUACGGUGCGAGAGGUGAAAUUCUUAGACCAUCGUAGGACGAACUAAAGCGAAAGCAUUUGCCAAGGAUGUUUUCAUUAAUCAAGAGCGAAAGUCAGAGGUU